UGAAUGUGUGACCGGCAAUAU
RNAcentral lists this non-coding RNA (21 nucleotides) under Rattus norvegicus (Norway rat). The record is from RNAcentral. Lineage: Eukaryota; Metazoa; Chordata; Mammalia; Rodentia; Muridae.